ACAUACACCCUAGCAGUUGUUUCAAUUUUCUCUAGAGAGGUUCUUGCACAGCUGUAUAGCACUGUGGACUCUGAUGCUGUCUUUAAAGGGACCAAAGUCUCUCUAAUACCAAGAGAUCAAACACCUUCCAAGCCCUCCAUCUGCAUUAUGGAGUCAGAAAAUGAGAGCAUUGCUGCUUGCCUGGCGAAAGAUUUCUACCCUAAAGAGCUGAAGAUAUUCAUGAAUUCUAACAGUGAAAUUAUAUAUGAAGCAACAGCCCCGAUCCUCACAUCUAGUGGGAAAUACAGUGCUGUCAAAAUUGUCAAGUUCUCUUCAACUGAACUAGUGUCUUGCUACGUUCAACGUAACGGCAAAAUUAUUAAGAAAACCCAAACAGCUGAGAAGCCGCCAGAUCCGAAUGAGGAGAAAAACACAAAGACACUAUCCGCUGCCCUGCUGGGUUUGGAAAUUGUGCUUGCAAAGAGCAUCGUCUUUAAUGUGCUCAUGAUUGCAAGAUUAGUCUCUGAGGUUCGCAAGAAGGAGCGAGGAAGGACCUGAGAAAUAAAGCAAAAUUUCUGUCAUCUUUGUUUAUAUUAAUUAUAUCCACUGCUUUUGAUACUGACAAUUAGUCUGCAUUUAUUGUUGCUGUGAAUAGAUUUGUAACAAGCUAAUUUUGCUUAAAGUAUUGUAAAGUUACAAUAGUGACUUCAGCAUUAAGACGGGAGGAGAGUUUCUAUUUUAAAGUUUAUUUUGUAUUCCCUCAAAACUUUCCCUGCCCCUUGGAAAAAAAUCCUAUCUUUAGUGCAAACCUCCCAUGUUUCUUAGGCAGAAUAGGAUGUUUGCCAACUAAAUUAUACUGAUUGUACAAGAAUUUUUGAAAGAGUAGACUUUGAAAGAUGAUGGGCUUUUUAAAAAUGUCAUCUAACUUUUUUGAAUUCAUGUAUUUUCCUUGCCUAUGUUUAUCUGAUAGCAAUGUUGUGUGUUGGUGCAUGUUGCUUACACAAUAAAAAAAUGUUGCACAA
Non-coding RNA from Chrysemys picta bellii (western painted turtle), 1001 nucleotides. NCBI's taxonomy places the organism in Eukaryota, Metazoa, Chordata, Testudines, Emydidae. The record is from the annotation of a RefSeq genome assembly.